RNAcentral lists this long non-coding RNA (401 nucleotides) under Anas platyrhynchos platyrhynchos (common mallard). RNAcentral describes it as "lncRNA (ENSAPLG00000021979.1)". Lineage: Eukaryota; Metazoa; Chordata; Aves; Anseriformes; Anatidae. The record is from RNAcentral.
GUCAAUGCAUUUUGAAGCAGAUGGGGCAGUAAUUCAUGAAAAAUAGUGUUUAGAAAAGGUAUGCAGGUUUAAUGAAGAAAAUUGCCCUGGCUACAAUGGGGAUUACCUUGAUUUUCGCCCUGUUACAUCAACAGUUAUCUUGGCAUAGCUCAGUGUGGCCAGUGGAUCUUGGAUACUCCCGAAAUCAUAACAUGUACGCGCUGUGUGGUGAGAGGAAGCAGAGGGAUAGCAAGAGCUGGACUCGCAGCAGAAAAGGUGGUGUAUCUUCCAUACUCUGUGUGUUAUUUAUAGUCAAGUCUGAGUUGAUUUUGUUGAUUUUUAGGGUACUUGCAUCACUCGUCUGUGAAGCAUUAAGCAUUUACAAAAUGCACAGUAAAACCCAAGCAACUCAUCUUAAAUAG